AACACGUGAGUAACCUGCCCCUGACUCUGGGAUAAGCGUUGGAAACGACGUCUAAUACUGGAUAUGACUACUGGCCGCAUGGUCUGGUGGUGGAAAGAUUUUUUGGUUGGGGAUGGACUCGCGGCCUAUCAGCUUGUUGGUGAGGUAAUGGCUCACCAAGGCGACGACGGGUAGCCGGCCUGAGAGGGUGACCGGCCACACUGGGACUGAGACACGGCCCAGACUCCUACGGGAGGCAGCAGUGGGGAAUAUUGCACAAUGGGCGAAAGCCUGAUGCAGCAACGCCGCGUGAGGGAUGACGGCCUUCGGGUUGUAAACCUCUUUUAGUAGGGAAGAAGGGAGCUUGCUCUUGACGGUACCUGCAGAAAAAGCACCGGCUAACUACGUGCCAGCAGCCGCGGUAAUACGUAGGGUGCAAGCGUUGUCCGGAAUUAUUGGGCGUAAAGAGCUCGUAGGCGGUUUGUCGCGUCUGCUGUGAAAUCCCGAGGCUCAACCUCGGGCUUGCAGUGGGUACGGGCAGACUAGAGUGCGGUAGGGGAGAUUGGAAUUCCUGGUGUAGCGGUGGAAUGCGCAGAUAUCAGGAGGAACACCGAUGGCGAAGGCAGAUCUCUGGGCCGUAACUGACGCUGAGGAGCGAAAGCAUGGGGAGCGAACAGGAUUAGAUACCCUGGUAGUCCAUGCCGUAAACGUUGGGCGCUAGAUGUAGG
Molecule: ribosomal RNA, 707 nt
Filed under: Curtobacterium sp. A20MGC
Lineage: Bacteria; Bacillati; Actinomycetota; Actinomycetes; Micrococcales; Microbacteriaceae
Description: bacterial SSU rRNA
Rfam family: Bacterial small subunit ribosomal RNA
Source: RNAcentral